Molecule: ribosomal RNA, 260 nt
Filed under: uncultured prokaryote
Description: partial 16S ribosomal RNA
Rfam family: Bacterial small subunit ribosomal RNA
Source: RNAcentral
UACGUAGGUGGCAAGCGUUAUCCGGAAUUACUGGGCGUAAAGAGCUCGUAGGUGGUUUGUCACGUCGUCUGUGAAAUUCCGGGGCUUAACCUCGGGCGUGCAGGCGAUACGGGCAAUACUUGAGUGCUGUAGGGGAGACUGGAAUUCCUGGUGUAGCGGUGAAAUGCGCAGAUAUCAGGAGGAACACCAAUGGCGAAGGCAGGUCUCUGGGCAGUUACUGACGCUGAGGAGCGAAAGCAUGGGUAGCGAACAGGAUUAGA